RNAcentral lists this ribosomal RNA (305 nucleotides) under uncultured bacterium. RNAcentral describes it as "bacterial SSU rRNA". It matches the Rfam family "Bacterial small subunit ribosomal RNA", at positions 335 to 656 of the family's 1533-position model. The record is from RNAcentral.
ACUACCUACGGGAGGCAGCAGUGGGGAAUAUUGCACAAUGGGGGGAACCCUGAUGCAGCGACGCCGCGUGAGUGAAGAAGUAUCUCGGUACGUAAAGCUCUAUCAGCAGGGAAGAAAAUGACAGUACCUGACUAAGAAGCCCCGGCUAACUACGUGCCAGCAGCCGCGGUAAUACGUAGGGGGCAAGCGUUAUCCGGAUUUACUGGGUGUAAAGGGAGCGCAGACGGCAAGGCAAGUCUGAUGUGAAAGUCCGAGGCUCAACCUCGGGACUGCAUUGGAAACUGUCUGGCUAGAGUGCAGGAGAG